This 404-nucleotide ribosomal RNA is filed under the name Verrucomicrobiota bacterium. RNAcentral's name for it is "Verrucomicrobia bacterium partial 16S ribosomal RNA". It matches the Rfam family "Bacterial small subunit ribosomal RNA", at positions 355 to 776 of the family's 1533-position model. The record is from RNAcentral. Lineage: Bacteria; Pseudomonadati; Verrucomicrobiota.
UGGGGAAUAUUGCACAAUGGGGGAAACCCUGAUGCAGCGACGCCGCGUGAGCGAUGAAGGCUUUCGAGUCGUAAAGCUCUGUCCUAUGGGAAGAUAAUGACGGUACCAUAGAAGAAAGCCCCGGCUAAUUACGUGCCAGCAGCCGCGGUAAUACGUAAGGGGCGAGCGUUGUCCGGAAUUAUUGGGCGUAAAGAGUGCGUAGGCGGCAAAUUAAGUCAGAUGUGAAAACUAAGGGCUCAACCCAUAGAUUGCAUCUGAAACUGAUAUGCUUGAGUCAAGGGGAGGAAAGUGGAAUUCCUAGUGUAGCGGUGGAAUGCGUAGAUAUUAGGAGGAAUACCGGUGGCGAAGGCGACUUUCUGGACUUGAACUGACGCUGAGGCACGAAAGCGUGGGGAGCAAACAGG